This 73-nucleotide transfer RNA is filed under the name Loxodonta africana (African savanna elephant). It matches the Rfam family "tRNA". From Rfam's summary of the family: Transfer RNA (tRNA) molecules are approximately 80 nucleotides in length. Their secondary structure includes four short double-helical elements and three loops (D, anti-codon, and T loops). Further hydrogen bonds mediate the characteristic L-shaped molecular structure. tRNAs have two regions of fundamental functional importance: the anti-codon, which is responsible for specific mRNA codon recognition, and the 3' end, to which the tRNAs corresponding amino acid is attached (by aminoacyl-tRNA synthetases). tRNAs cope with the degeneracy of the genetic code in two manners: having more than one tRNA (with a specific anti-codon) for a particular amino acid; and 'wobble' base-pairing, i.e. permitting non-standard base-pairing at the 3rd anti-codon position. The record is from Rfam by way of RNAcentral. Lineage: Eukaryota; Metazoa; Chordata; Mammalia; Proboscidea; Elephantidae.
GCCCUCGUGGCACAAACAGUUAAGCGUUCGACUGCAAACCGAAAGGUUGGUGGUUUGAACCCACCCAGCAGCU